AACGAACGCUGGCGGCAUGCCUAACACAUGCAAGUCGAACGAGACCUUCGGGUCUAGUGGCGCACGGGUGCGUAACGCGUGGGAACCUGCCCUUAGGUUCGGAAUAACUCCCCGAAAGGGGUGCUAAUACCGGAUAAUGUCUUCGGACCAAAGAUUUAUCGCCUUUGGAUGGGCCCGCGUUGGAUUAGCUAGUUGGUAGGGUAAAAGCCUACCAAGGCGACGAUCCAUAGCUGGUCUGAGAGGAUGAUCAGCCACACUGGGACUGAGACACGGCCCAGACUCCUACGGGAGGCAGCAGUGGGGAAUAUUGGACGAUGGGCGAAAGCCUGAUCAAGCAAUGCCGCGUGAGUGAUGAAGGCCUUAGGGUUGUAAAGCUGUUUUACCCGGGAUGAGAAUGACAGUACCGGGAGAAGAAGCUCCGGCUAACUCCGUG
RNAcentral lists this ribosomal RNA (433 nucleotides) under uncultured bacterium. RNAcentral describes it as "partial 16S ribosomal RNA". It matches the Rfam family "Bacterial small subunit ribosomal RNA", at positions 29 to 507 of the family's 1533-position model. The record is from RNAcentral.